AUUGAACGCUGGCGGCAGGCCUAACACAUGCAAGUCGAACGGUAACAGGAAGCAGCUUGCUGCUUUGCUGACGAGUGGCGGACGGGUGAGUAAUGUCUGGGAAACUUCCUGAUGGAGGGGGAUAACUACUGGAAACGGUAGCUAAUACCGCAUAACGUCGCAAGACCAAAGAGGGGGACCUUCGGGCCUCUUGCCAUCGGAUGUGCCCAGAUGGGAUUAGCUAGUAGGUGGGGUAACGGCUCACCUAGGCGACGAUCCCUAGCUGGUCUGAGAGGAUGACCAGCCACACUGGAACUGAGACACGGUCCAGACUCCUACGGGAGGCAGCAGUGGGGAAUAUUGCACAAUGGGCGCAAGCCUGAUGCAGCCAUGCCGCGUGUAUGAAGAAGGCCUUCGGGUUGUAAAGUACUUUCAGCGGGGAGGAAGGGAGUAAAGUUAAUACCUUUGCUCAUUGACGUUACCCGCAGAAGAAGCACCGGCUAACUCCGUG
This 490-nucleotide ribosomal RNA is filed under the name uncultured bacterium. Its description in RNAcentral is "partial 16S ribosomal RNA". It matches the Rfam family "Bacterial small subunit ribosomal RNA", at positions 30 to 507 of the family's 1533-position model. The record is from RNAcentral.